UACGAGGGGGGCAAGCGUUGUUCGGAAUUAUUGGGCGUAAAGGGCGCGUAGGCGGUUCGGUAAGUCUCAAGUGAAAUCUAUGGGCUCAACCCAUAGUCUGCUUGAGAAACUGCCGGGCUUGAGUCCGGUAGGGGCAGAGGGAAUUCCCGGUGGAGCGGUGAAAUGCGUAGAGAUCGGGAAGAACGCCAAGGGCGAAGGCACUCUGCUAGGCCUGAUUUCGCGACUGACACUCAGGGA
Molecule: ribosomal RNA, 237 nt
Filed under: uncultured prokaryote
Description: partial 16S ribosomal RNA
Rfam family: Bacterial small subunit ribosomal RNA
Source: RNAcentral